AACGCUGGCGGCAUGCCUAACACAUGCAAGUCGAACGCCCCGCAAGGGGAGUCGGCGCACGGGUUAUAACUCGUGGCAACCUGCCCUCGGAUGGGGGAUAACCGAUGGAAACGUGCGGCUAAUACCGCGUACGACCUGAGGGUGAAAGAUUCAUCGCUCUAGGAGGGGCCCGCGUCAGAUUAGCUAGUUGGUGGGGUAAUGGCCUACCAAGGCAUCAUCUGUAGCUGGUCUGAGAGGAUGAUCAGCCACACUGGGACUGAGACACAGGACCAACUCCUACAGGAGGCAUCACUGGGGAAUAUUGGACAAUGGGGGCAACCCUGAUCCAGCAAUGCCGCGUGAGUGAUGAAGGCCUUAGGGUUGUAAAGCUCUUUCACCCACACGAUAUACGGUAGUGGGAGAAGAAGCCCAGGCUAACUUCGUGCCAGCAGCCGCGGUAAUACAAGGGGGCUAGCGUUGUUCGGAAUUACUGGGCGUAAAGGGCGCGCAGGCGGUUCAUCAGUCAU
This 506-nucleotide ribosomal RNA is filed under the name uncultured bacterium. RNAcentral's name for it is "bacterial SSU rRNA". It matches the Rfam family "Bacterial small subunit ribosomal RNA", at positions 32 to 590 of the family's 1533-position model. The record is from RNAcentral.